This is a long non-coding RNA of Aedes aegypti (yellow fever mosquito), 822 nucleotides long. RefSeq lists it as uncharacterized. The record is from RefSeq and is a predicted model, not a curated record. The transcript has 3 exons. NCBI's taxonomy places the organism in Eukaryota, Metazoa, Arthropoda, Insecta, Diptera, Culicidae.
GCCCAAAGUCAUUUCAAUCAUUUUUAGGCUCUUGUAGUUCAAGGUAUCACAUAUUCAUGUGCAAAAUAUUGACCCACCAGUGCCCUCUUGUUUUUUUUCACAAAACUGUUCAACUUUAACUGUAACUUUAAAAUAAAAUAUCUGUGUAACAAUAUUUAAGUGUGUGGCGAGUGCAAAGAUGAUGAUGAUCAUAACGACGGCAACGACGAACUGCGAACGAGACAAGCCUUGCCCGCCAUUAUUGCUACAGAUUGAUAAAUAGUGAGAAAUUUAUUGUUUCGCCUCGAAAUGGGCUGUUUGCCAAUUGGUGCGGCCGGUCGUCAGUUUUAUUUUCGAUACCUGAAUGAAAUUCAGUAGGGCAGGUGAUAAUGGUGGGAACUAUUGAAUAAUGGAUCGUUUUUCUCCGCCGCGCUCUGGAGCUCUGAGACUUUGGUGAGCUAUGAUUUUCCAAUCCAUUUCAUUGUUUGGAUGUGAUGCAGAUUUCCAAAUGGCAGAAAUUGGUGAGACCAUAUUACACAGUAUGAUGGAGGCUGCAUAGGAUUACACUUUGUAAGGUGCCUAUUCUGAUGGGGUCAAUCCGAAUGGAAAAAAAGUCACGCUGAGGGCUUUGUUGGUAAGGUGUCUGAUUGAUAGAGGCGAUUCAAAUUGAUCGGUUUGAAAUGGUGUAAUCGAUUUGAUUUGCAUGUUGGGUGUUAUGAUUGCGCUGUGGAGUUGUUGCCCAAUGGAAAUGAAUCGUGGACUUAUCGAUUGAAAUGUUCCAUAAUAGAUUUAAGGGCCUAAUAGCCGUAGCGGCAAACGUCGUGUGAGAAUCCCGCCGGUUUC